GAUGAACGCUAGCGGCAGGCUUAACAACAUGCAAGUCGAGGGGUAUAGUUCUUCGGAACUAGAGACCGGCGCACGGGUGCGUAACGCGUAUGCAAUCUACCUUAUACAGGGGAAUAGCCCAGAGAAAUUUGGAUUAAUGCCCCAUAGUGUUAUCGAAUCGCAUGGUUUGAUAACUAAAGUUCCAACGGUAUAAGAUGAGCAUGCGUCCCAUUAGUUAGUUGGUAAGGUAACGGCUUACCAAGACAAUGAUGGGUAGGGGUCCUGAGAGGGAGAUCCCCCACACUGGUACUGAGACACGGACCAGACUCCUACGGGAGGCAGCAGUGAGGAAUAUUGGACAAUGGGCGCAAGCCUGAUCCAGCCAUGCCGCGUGCAGGAUGACGGUCCUAUGGAUUGUAAACUGCUUUUGUACAGGAAGAAACACUCCCUCGUGAGGGAGCUUGACGGUACUGUAAGAAUAAGGAUUCGGCUAACUCCGUGCCAGCAGCCGACGG
RNAcentral lists this ribosomal RNA (494 nucleotides) under uncultured bacterium. Its description in RNAcentral is "bacterial SSU rRNA". It matches the Rfam family "Bacterial small subunit ribosomal RNA", at positions 28 to 520 of the family's 1533-position model. The record is from RNAcentral.